CUGACUUUCUAGACACACCCAUGCAGGUGAUAUGAAGCAAGUUGAAGCUAAAAUCUGCAGGACACCGUCCCUCCAGGACCAAGUUUGGGCACUCCUGCUUUAAACUAUUAAACAUGCUAAUAAAAGUCACUUUUUAAAAACUUUUCAGGGUUAAAAGUUGUCAGAAGAAAGAUCAAGCUCCCAUAAUGCAAUUCAAAAGCAUUAAUAAAUGGGUGAAAACAAAAACACAAAUCACAAAAUACAGAAAUCUGCUAAUUUACGGACAUUGUUUACAGUGUAUGACGUAUGUUAACCUGUUGUACAGAUGUGCAUGACAGUAGUAUUGUGAAAUAAAGUUACAGUAUUAAACACAUAAUAAUCUUUUCGGUCUUCGCUCAAGUGGGGAGAACUGCAAUGGUGUUGUUUUCUAUUUUACAUCCGACCUUUUCCUUGAUGCUUUUGAUGUUACUUCAUCACACAUGGUUUGUUUCGCUCUAGAUUUCAUUAGGACUGAUGGCUAGUAAUAUCUCCACCUGACGUGUAUGUAAAAGUGCUCUGUUUGUGAUGUCCAUAACCACGAUUAGCUUUUUGUUGUUGUAUUUAUGAAGUGUCUGGUGCUCUUUUGAGACUGAUUUUUGAUAAAACAAAACGAUUUCAGCAAUGACAUAACCUUUACACAUUGUAAAUAUAGCUGUGAGUUUAUAUCAGUCAGUGUGUUCUGUUCCACUCAAAGUUGUUUUCCAGUGAUUCUGUCUAAACAUACCGUGUUACUUUUGUUUUUCUUUUUAACCGCUGGACUAUGCGUCACAGUUUUGUGUUAUUGAAUACACCUGAUCUGAUGAUAAUAAACUAUUAUCACUCAAAA
RNAcentral lists this long non-coding RNA (844 nucleotides) under Danio rerio (zebrafish). Its description in RNAcentral is "lncRNA si:ch1073-100e22.1 (ENSDARG00000100233.2)". The record is from RNAcentral. Lineage: Eukaryota; Metazoa; Chordata; Actinopteri; Cypriniformes; Danionidae.